AUCGUUACCCGAGCCCAGCGCCGGGCCAAUGUCCUAUCUCAGGGUUUCCCACGUCGCUCGCUCCUUGACGGCUGACCGACACUGGGUCUGAGGUGUAAGCGCUUUCCAGGCCCUUCCCUGGGGCUUGGAGGGGAAUGGCGCAAAGGACUUUUCUUACAAGCAGAGAGGUUGGACUCCUGAAAGCCUGGACAGUGUCAUCAUCUUCACCUGAAGAGUGGAAAAAUUCAAGCAAAGAGUUUCUCAGGAAAUGACCAAGUAAAACAUCUGGAGUAAGUCAGCAGGAUUCACAGUGACUCCCCCCAACCAGCUGGUGGUGUUUCUCUCUGAAAGCAGCGCUUGGUACCAGUGUGAACUCUCUUCCUUCAGAAGUCUCAUCAGGUGGACGUAAUACGAGGGUCUGGUCCCCCAUACCUUGAGGACUCCGCUGCCAUCUGACAAUUACAGACAAUCCAAUUGUCCUCAUCCUUGAGGACUCUGCUGCCAUCUGACAAUUAGAGACAGUCCAAAACAUGCCACACUUUGAUCCUAAACACAUUCCUGGCUUUGGUCACUUUUGAAAAGUUCCUGAGUUAUGAGAAAUCAAUAAUAAGAGUGUUCAAAACCUGAACACUCUUUUUAGAAAUACCUGCUGGAACUACAUAUAUGAUUUAUGGGGUACUGUCUUGUAGUAUCUGGGAAAGUAGACCCAUCUAACCUGGAAUGAUCAUAGGCAACAAUGACCAAAAAUGGGGAUCUUUUGAUAUACCUAAAGUAAUUUAUUUGUGCACACCAUUGGAAAGAGCUGGUUUUAGAACCAGACAUGUAAAUAAGAGACUGACUUCCACUGGCACCUAAAAACUUCUAAAAGAAAUCCUGAAAGAAAAAGUCACCUUCAUUCAAGAGACCAUUUGGGCCUUCAUGAGUAACCAGCUGAGAAGCUGAGAUCAGAUAGAAAUGUGAGUUGUACUUUACUUGUGGCUAGUGAAACUUCCCUUUCUUUGAGCUGUCUUUGGGAUGAUUCUUGAUCUUGUGAGGACUGUGUUGCACCUCCUUUGGAGAUGCCCCAUGCAUCCUUGGUUAAGUCAUAACCUUGAUAAAGGCUUAUUGGUUUUGGUGAGUCAUUUGGAAGGGUACCUUUGUUUUUUGUUUGUUUGUUUGUUUUUUAAAGUUCAAAAGCCAGGAAUAACAGCUAUUUGUGCUGGCUAAUACUUGAUAAUGAGAGAUUUGAAAAGUUUUUAUUUUUUUUAAAUUUUACUUUAAAUUCUGCGAUACAUGUGCAGAAUGUACAGGUUUGUUACAUAGAUAUACUUGUGCCAUGGUGGUGUGCUACACUUACCAACUGUCAUCUAGGUUUUAAGCCCCACGUGCAUUAGGUAUUUGUCCUAAUGUUCUCCCUUCCCUUGGCCCCACCCCGACUGGCCCCGGUGUUUAAUGUUCUUCUUGUGUCCAUCUAUUCUCAUUGUUCAUCUCCCACUUAUUAGUGAGAACAUGUGGUGUUUGGUUUUCUGUUCCUGUGUUAAUUUGCUGAGAAUGAUGGCUUCCAGCGUCAUCCAUGUCCCUGGAAAGGACAUGAACUCUUUUUUUAUAGCUGCAUAGUAUUCCAUGGUGUUUAUGUGCCACAUUUUCUUUUUCCAGCUUGUCAUUGAUGGGCAUUUGGGUUGGUUCCAAGUCUUUGCUAUUGUAAAGUGCUGCGGCAAACACACAUGUGCAUGUGUCUUUAUACCAGAAUGAUUUAUAACCCUUUUGGUGUAUAUCCAGUAAUGGGAUUGCUGGGUCAAAUGGUGUUUCUGGUUCUAGAUGCUUGAGGAAUCACCACACUGUCUUCCACAAUGGUUGGAUUAAUUUACACUCUCACCAACAAGUGUAAAAGCAUUCCUGUUUCUCCACAGCAUUGCCAGCAUCUGUUGUUUCCUGACUUUUUAAUAAUUGCCAUUCUAACUGGUAUUAGAUAGUAUCUCACUGUGGUUUUGAGUUGCAUUUCUCUAAUGACCACUGAUGAUGAGCUAUUUUUCAUAUGUUUGUUGGCCACAUCAAUCUCUUCUUCUGGAAGUGUCUGUUCAUAUUCUUUGCCCACUUUUUGUUGGGGUUGUUUGUUUUUUUUCUUGAAAAUUUGUUUAAGUUCCUUGUAGAUUCUGGAUAUUAGACCUUUGACACAUGGGUAGAUUGCAAAAUUUUUCUCUCAUUCUGUAGGUUGCCUUUUCACUCUGGUGAUAGUUUCUUUUGCUGUGCAGAAACUCUUUAGUUUAAUUAGAUCCCAUUUGUCAAUUUUUGCUUUUGUUGCAAUUGCUUUUGGUGUUUUAGUCAUGAAGUCUUUGCCCAUGCCUAUGUCCUGAAUGGUAUUGCCUAGGUUUUCUUCUAGGGUUUUUAUGGCUUGGGGUUUUACAUUUAAGUCUUUAAUCUAUCUUGAGUUAAUUUUUGUAUAAGGUGUAAGGAGGGGGUCCAGUUUCUGUUUUCUGCAUAUGGCUAGCUAGUUUUCCCAGCACCAUUUAUUAAAUAGGGAAUUCUUUCCCCAUUGCUUGUUUUUGUCAGGUUUGUCAAAGAUCAGAUGGUUGUAGAUGUGUGGUGUUAUUUCUGAGGUCUCUGUUCUGUUCCAUUGGUCUAUGUAUCUGUUUUGGUACCAGUAUCAUGCUGUUUUGGUUACUGUAGCCUUGCAGUAUAGUUUGAGGUCAGGUAGCGUGCUGCCUCCAACUUUGUUAUUUUUGCUUAUGAUUGUCUUGGCUAUGCAGGCUCUUUCUUGGUUCCAUAUUAAAUUUAAAGUAGUUUUUUAUAAUUCUGCAAAGAAACUCAAUGGUAGCUUAAUGGGAGUAGCAUUGAAUCUAUAAAUUACUUUGGGCAGUAUGGCCAUUUUCAUGAUAUUGAUUCUUCCUAUCCAUGAGCAUGGAAUUUUUUUCCAUUUGUUUGAGUCCUCUCAUUUCCUUGAGCAGUGGUUUGUAGUUCUCCUUGAAAAGAUCCUUCACGUCCCUUGAAAAC
This 2949-nucleotide long non-coding RNA is filed under the name Homo sapiens (human). Its description in RNAcentral is "non-protein coding MKLN1-AS:15". The record is from RNAcentral. Lineage: Eukaryota; Metazoa; Chordata; Mammalia; Primates; Hominidae.